UCUUUUUGUUAAUAAUUUAAAGUUUGAUYUGCUCAAUGAGUAUUCUUAAAUAGCUGCGGUAUAUUGACCGUACAAAGGUAGCAUAAUCAAUAGUUUUUUAAUUAAAAGCUGGAAUGAAUGAUUUGAUGAGAUAUAAACUGUCUCAAAUUUAAUAGUAUUAUAAUUUUUUUUUUAGUAAAAAAACUAAAUUGAAUUUAAAAGACGAGAAGACCCUAUAGAUUUUUAUAUUUUUAUAAUUUAAUUUUAAUUUAAUUUAAAUAAUUUAUUUUAUAAAAAUAUUUGAUUGGGGAGAUUAUUAAAUUUAAUUAACUUUAAUUUUAUUAAACUAUGAUUGUUGAAUUAAUUAUUUUUUUAUAAAGAGUUUAAAAUAAAAUACCUUAGGGAUAACAGCGUAAUUUUUUUUGAGAGAUCUUAUUGAUAAAAAAGUUUGCGACCUCGAUGUUGAAUUAAGAUAAAAUUUUGAAGGAGAAUUUUAAAAUUUUUAGUCUGUUCGACUAUUAAAAUCUUACGUGAUCUGAGUUCARACCGGA
This 530-nucleotide ribosomal RNA is filed under the name Clasis sp. n. 3 BFS-2018. RNAcentral describes it as "partial 16S large subunit ribosomal RNA". The stretch from base 383 to 530 matches the Rfam family "Archaeal large subunit ribosomal RNA", at positions 2544 to 2691 of the family's 2987-position model. The record is from RNAcentral. Lineage: Eukaryota; Metazoa; Arthropoda; Insecta; Hymenoptera; Ichneumonidae.